Molecule: unclassified non-coding RNA, 1527 nt
Filed under: Hevea brasiliensis (rubber tree)
Lineage: Eukaryota; Viridiplantae; Streptophyta; Magnoliopsida; Malpighiales; Euphorbiaceae
Source: RNAcentral
AGAUCACAUGAAGAAACUCUUCUUUGAAAAUAAAAAAUUGUGUCCAUGGAAGGACAAUGCAUGCCUUCCAAGUGCCAAAAAGAGGAACAGCAUAAUUUUUUGGCUGAAAUACUUCAGCAAGACGUAUAUAUCAUGGCUAACUUUUCAUCUUACGAAACUUGAUCCUGCUUGCCACUUGAUUCAGAUGUCGUCACGACAGGAGGUUUAGCUAGACCAGUUUGCGCUGGAGGAGCUGUCAGUGCAUAUGUCAACCUGGAUGACGAAUUUUCAAUCAAACCAGCAACUCCAGCAGCUGCAGAUUGGGCAUUUGACGGGAGAAAUAAAUCAUGUCUCUGAUCUUUAUAAGCACUCCAAACAUCGGAAGCAUUAAGUAUCUCACGAACUUUAGUACAAUGGGCCCCUUCUGCGGCAAAAGCAUGCAAAACCUCAACUGCAAGCACCCUGCCAAUGGAUGCUUCAGACUCAUUCCACUGCAUCUGGGAGUGAAGUCCAUUUCUUCCUCCAGCCCUCCAAUCAAGAAGGCCCAGGAGUACUUCAACAAGUCCCACCUUGAGUCCCUGCGCAACCAACGCAUCCCUAGCCCGGUUUCCAGCAACGACUACACGUUUUAAUGUUUCAAGAGCUAGAAUACUUCCACCUUGCCAUCCAAUAGCUUUCAUCAGAAGGGGAACAACCUGGGGUGUCCCAACACUAGUAGCUGCCAUAGCUUCAGCGCACGUUGUACUUCCUGCAAGUUGAUGCAGAACACGCAAACAACUUAGACGCACACGCUCUUGUAGCGUUGGUGAAGGGGGCUGCUUUGAGCUACUAUCAGCUUCAUAUUCUUCCUUGGAGUAGUCAACAUUUUUCACUUCCCCGAUGGCCAUUGUUUCUCUUCUCCCUUCAUAUGCCACCGCAGACACAAGUUUUGGUACAUAUCCUAAAAAUCCAACAUGAUCUGCAAGAGUAGGGUGCACACGUAAUAAUGACACCAGAGCAGCAGAUAGAAGAAGAGGAAGUUCAGGGUCAACAGAUUGGACAUCAUAAUGUGUGGCAGCGAUUGAUGAAAGAUACUGAUCCAAUAGACCUUCCAAAAACCGCUUCGGAUUUCUAAGAGGAAACUUUGGAUCUUUUAAGAAUAAUCUAACGUAGAUUCCACCAACCUGAGGCUCAUCUCUCAUUUCCUGUUGGCCAGUUGCUUGCUCAGGUACAUCCCAAUCAACAACACUGCCUUUCAUCUGUUCACGGUACAGUUCUGAUGCCAUGGUCGCAAUUUGAGCAGACAAAGAAGCAGCCAUUGCUGGAGUCCACACGAGUUCUGGAGUCUCUGUCGUUUGUUCAAGAAUGCUCACAACAGCUUCACCAGGACCAUCCUUGAUGACAGAUACCAAGCCAUCAGGAAGAAACCUAGCCAGAGUAAUAGCAACUCUAGGUCCAUGCAUUGGUUGCCCAACAAGUUUUCCCAACAAUGAUGCAGCUGCUGCUCUUUGCUGCAGAGGAACUUCUCGCAAAGGCAGGAGAAGUUCGAGAAUGUAGACCACUCCACCA